Molecule: long non-coding RNA, 4240 nt
Organism: Egretta garzetta (little egret)
Lineage: Eukaryota; Metazoa; Chordata; Aves; Pelecaniformes; Ardeidae
Exons: 3
Source: RefSeq, a predicted model, not a curated record
GAAAAGAAAAAGAAACCAUGUAAAAAUAGGGUUGCCAGGAAAUUAUUCAGGACAGAUUCACUGUUGUAAAGUAUAUUCUUGUUAGACAGUUACAGUUGAGUUGUUUGAAUAAAACAGAUAUAUUCCAGAUAAAAAAUUCAUAGUACUCAAUCAUAAAUGAUUAAAUAUCUCUGGGAAAGUUAUCAAAAAAUAUUGGUAAUUAUUUCAUCACUGUUAAAAAUAAUGACUUAUUCCUUUUAUUUCCUAUUCAAAAAAUUAUGUCUUGAGGAAUAUGGUGGUGUUAUCAAAAAUUACACAUUUUAACACUGUUAAUACAGUUUGGCAAUUAUGUUCAAACUCAUCACACGUGGAUUAAGAGUCCUUGGGUUAAUACCUUAAUGAACAACAGGGGACUAAACCAGCCCAUUUUUUCUUUUCCCAUGAGACAUUAACUAUAAAAGCUUUAAAACUCAUCAAGAAGCUUGCUCUCUAACUAAAAUGUCUGCACAUUCAAACACACAUUAUUAACCCAUUUUAACAUAUUCUUUUGAUUUGUAAUGAAUUUCAACAUUUUAAUUUUAGAUAAAACUCCAAAUCAAGAGUGGAAGCAGAAUUCUGAAUUUUUAUUUCCAAAAUAAGACCUGUUCUAUGCCUUAGCUGCAGAUCAAAUCCAUGAUUCAUGGCUACAGAUUCUACAGAACAAGAUCAGAAUUAAGGACACGGUAUUGGAAGCAAUACUGUGUUACAUCACAGAGUGGUCGAGGUUGGAAAGGACCUCUGGAAGUCAUCUGGGCCAAUCCCCCAGUCAAGCAGGGAUACCCACAGCUGGUUGCCCAGGACCAUGUCCAGAUGGUUUCUUCUGAGUAUCUCCAAGGUGGGAGACUCCACAACGUCCCUGGGCAACCUGUGCCAGUGCUUGGUCACCCUCACAGUGCAAAAAUGUUCCCUGAUGUUCUCUGAAGACAUUCCCUCUGGUCCUGUCACCAGGCACCACUAAAAAAAGCCUGGCUCUGUCCUCUUUGCAGCCUCACUUCAGGCAUUUGUAUACGUUGAUGAGAUUCUCCCCUCCCCCAGCCUUCUCUAAUAGUCCUAGCUCUCUCAGCCUUUCCUCAUAUAAGAGAUGCUCAUAAAAGGAAACCAAUAUAUUAAGGCUUCCUCCAUACACAAACUAAGUACAAACAAUUAUGUCUCUACCAACUAGAGCAAUUUGUUGAAAAGCAAGGUCAAACUCUACUCACAUGUUUUUUCCGACUCCCUUAUCAUGGUGCCCAAUUUCCUGAAGUCCUAACACAAUAUGUUUUCAUUCCAUGCACAGCUUGGCUGUGUCAUAUUUGUAUUGCAGCAUUCAGCCUAACCUACUUAAAAUGUGAACAACUGCACUAUGAAGGCUGACCCAAGCCAUGCUGUCCCCACAGAUGAUGGUACUCUCCUGUGGAAGGUACUAAGGCUGCUGAAAGUUCACCUCAUGUUCUUUUUGCCACACCAACCUGGACGAUUUUAUUAUUCUUUUUCACUGAUCUUCUUCACUGAUCACUGUCUUUCUUGACAUAAAGAGUUAUUAGAGUGCUGAAGAAUUACAACAUAGUAACUAGAAUAAUUUUAGCUUUCACGUAUACUGCAAAAAAGUUGACCUAUGCCCCAUGGUAAACACCAAUCCAAAACACUGUAAACCAAAAUGAGAACACUGUGCGGUCUGCAGGCGAAAAGAUGUUUAGAGCAACAACCUGUUAAGAGUCCGUAUCAACUCAGCAAUGAAAAGAAACUUAUUACUUCUCCUCCAAGGAGAAAGUACCCUACAGCAGAACUCACGAUAUAAACCUCUCUUAAAUUAAGAAUUGUGGAAGUGCUCUCAGACCCAAGUAUUUCACUGACCAUCUUCACAAAUAACUAAAACUAUAAUAAAGCUAUUAUCUAACCUUCUGUACAGCCCCAUGACAAAGUCCACAUCAGGGCAGUUGAUGUGCUAAGGAAACUCAGUUCAUGUGCUGAAAACCACAUAGAAGAGUUAAGUUUUAAAUGUUAAGGAGGCUAAAGACAGGUAGAAGUCAAAGAUAGAGAAGGCAUGUUUAAAGAAAGAAACGUAACUAUUGUAAAUAAAAAACCCUUUGAAAUCAGGCCUUCCCUGGCCAUCAGAAAUAUGAUAGUUUUGGAGCAGCUCUCUUGCAUUACCACAGGCAAACAAUCUACCUAGUUUUAAACUUGAUAUACUCUUUCUGGAAGUGUGAACUAGCUGCCUGUGAUGGCACCAAGCUGAGUUUAAUGGCUGAAAGAAAGUCUCUUCUUGGCUGUUUCAGAAUUAAAAGGAGUUUCAGUAGAAGUUCUCUUAUUUCUGUAUGUUUCUAAUAACAUGUAAGGAAAAAACUUGCAUGAAAAAGUUUGUGAAGGAAUGCAUAGGCAUGCAAAUCAGAACUGCCCUCUAAUACUAGAUUUUAUGACAACUAGUUUCCCUGCUAGCCUGUCUCCUGCUGUUACAAAAGAAAUAUGCUGUACACAUUUCCCUUCCUCACAUAUACAUCUCAUAUAAGGAAAGUGCAACAAGAACCACCCACACACUUUGCAAAACAAAACCAAGACAUUUGUGUGUAAACUGACAAAGUAAACUGACAAAGAGGACCACCACCACCACAGGUUAGAGUUACUCCCAGGUAAGCCAUUUUUGACAACCUCUGACACUUCAUCUGCUUGUAAGAAAACUAAGACUAUUUUUAAUUUUCUUUUUUUUUUCCAAUUAUAUACAAACACCUAAUAUUGAUUAAAAUAAUGCCUUCAGCUCAAAUCAGCAGGAUGAGUUUCCCUUGAAAUUUGCUGUAGUAAAUAACAUCUGCAAUUUGCUCUGAAGGCUUUUAGUUGCAGUUAGGGCAAACAAUUACACACACAAAAUGAUAUCUAACUGUCUUCUUCCAGAGCCUUUUACUUCGUAGAACAAAUAUUACCCUAUUUAAAAAAAAACAACAAGCACAUACAUAAAACAAGCCCCCACAGAAAACAAUUUCCUAUGCUCUUCAGCAAAAGUUUUGUUGCAGAAUAAAAGAAGUCAAUGAUGCUAUUAAAUAAACAGCUGCAAAUCACAAGUAGCUAACUAAAACACACAACUUUACUUUCCUACUUCCCUUUCUCUAUUUUCAGGCUCCCUCCCUUCAGCAAAUGUAAGCAGUUACAUAAAUCUUGAAAAAUGCCUGGCGAAUUUACAAAGCUAUUUAGCUUCAUAUGCCAGGCACCAACAACCAUUAGGUUGCCGUAGACACCUUUUGCCUGUCUUCACCAACCUCAAACUACACUUGAAGUUUCCUAAGUUGUCAGCCUACACUGUUUCCUCUAUUCAUUGAACAUAGCUCUCACUCCAUAAAUCGUCAAUGCCUGCUCAGGUUUCUGGCACAGUAUACAAAGAUGUACUGUAAUCCCAUUAAUUUCAUCUUAUGAGAAAAGCUGCAGAGACAGCUGCAGAAAGGCAACAACAACAAAAAUCUGUCCAAAAAUGCUGAGCACCUGCUUUCAACAAAGUGGUCAAUUCUCUAGUAAAGUGCUGAUUUCUACCAAAUGUUAGAAAAAUGCCGAAUUAUUCGGCUGUUAAACUGCAGACUAGAUAGAGCUCUGAAUGGAGCAGAAUGGGACAGAAUACACCUCUCUUGCUUCAGGUUCUCUUCAGAGAUAGACAGACAACACAUCUGCUUUACACAUUUACAUUUGAGGGCUUUUUCUUUUUUGCAAUCACUAUUACUAUUUAUACAUAUUACAAUAAUGGCUAAUGGCCUCAACUAUGAAUCCUUAUGCAACAUGCUGUAUCACAUAUAAUACGAACAAGAGCUCCACUUUUCAACUCCUAGUAAACAGGGCUAGACCUGGACCUAAGCAUAAUUCUGCAUCAAAUUUUAGAAAUCAAGAAAUUGUGCCUGCAAGAAGUUUCAUAAACUUCAAUUACAAACUCAAUUAACUCCAAUAAAAAAAAAAGGAAACAAGAACUGCUUUAUAAUGAAAGUUUAAGAGAAGUUUCAUCUGCAAUCACACACAAAUGCUGCUGGUAUCCCCAUUACAAUUAAUAAGAGUUUUCACUAUAUAUGAAAAGAAACACAAGGCCAAAACCUAAAAUAAAAUCCUUUGAUACUCCAUCACAACUCUAGUAAGAAGUUCUAUUGCAAAAACGCUUCUUUGUCAAUGCCAGCAGGCUUCUACAGCAAAGUUCUGUCCAUUAGAAGCUUUUAGCCAGAUUAAAAAAGCAUAUGCUAAACUCUUCUUACACAUCCCCCUUAUAGUAAGGUAGAAA